This 207-nucleotide ribosomal RNA is filed under the name uncultured bacterium. Its description in RNAcentral is "partial 16S ribosomal RNA". It matches the Rfam family "Bacterial small subunit ribosomal RNA", at positions 568 to 774 of the family's 1533-position model. The record is from RNAcentral.
CGUGUAGGCGGCGAUUUAAGUCUGGAGUGAAAGUCCUGCUUUUAAGGUGGGAAUUGCUUUGGAUACUGGAUGGCUAGAGUGCAGGAGAGGUUAGUGGAAUUCCCAGUGUAGCGGUGAAAUGCGUAGAGAUUGGGAGGAACACCAGUGGCGAAGGCGGCCUACUGGGCACCAACUGACGCUGAGGCUCGAAAGUGUGGGUAGCAAACA